This is a long non-coding RNA of Dermochelys coriacea (leatherback sea turtle), 2579 nucleotides long. RefSeq lists it as uncharacterized. The record is from RefSeq and is a predicted model, not a curated record. The transcript has 3 exons. NCBI's taxonomy places the organism in Eukaryota, Metazoa, Chordata, Testudines, Dermochelyidae.
CUCUUCUAAAUAAUUUCUUCUCAUCUUGGAUACAUUUGCAGCAUUGUCUGUGACCAAGCUGCGUACUAGACAUUUGAAAUUUUUUCACACAGUUUGUUAAUGCUUUUACUGCUCCUUCUUUUAAGAAUUCUGCUGUAUGGGCGUUUCCUGAAGUAUCAGUUGUUUCCAUAAGAUAGACAACUCCACCUUCUGUUGUCAAACAAGCACAUAUUACUGGAUCAUUGUGUACGUUACUCCACCCGUCAAGAUUCUCAAUAACAAAUUUCCCAUCAAUGUUUUUUGCACACUGUUCCAUGUCCUCAUAUACUGUAUUCAGCAACCUUCCAGCAAUGUCUGCUCCACCACGUAGAGUAUAGUCUAGUUGUAAUGAUUGAACCAUGUCAGUUAAAAGUUUGUUUUGAACAAGACAAAAAGGGAGAAUUUGUUGCAUACAUGAGCCAAGCAAUCUUUUCAUCUGUAGAGUCUUGCUGGAGUUGGCUGGUCCUGAUUUAUGAACUCAUCCACACUGGAUGAUAGAGUCUUAAAUACAGGUAAUUUACAUGUUUAGUUGUAGCACUGCUGUUUGCUGCCAGCAGAUGACUCCAAAAUUGUAGACAUUUCAGAUGGUGGACACUCUUAUAACCUCUUAUGUCUAAGUGGGACCCUGAAACAAAAUGUGUACUUUAAAAAGAAAAAAAAAAGUUACUCACUUACCAAGCAUGAGUGCACUUCUUUAAAAAAAAAAAAAAAAAAAAAAAAAGAUUAAUGGGAUGUCUCCUACUGCAGCUGUUUAAACCACUGUUUAAAUUAUAUAAAUUGUUCUAAAUUCAAUUUUAUAAGGAAAACAGUAUUUUUAAGGAUUAUCUAAAUCAAUUAAAAUCUUUAUCUCCAGCAAUAUACCAAACUGCUUAAAUUUUUUUAAUGUUAAAAUUCAUAAAUGCCUAAUAAAACUUUACUUUUAAACAGGAAAUGUUCACCAUGAAUAUUUAAUUAUAAUAAUAAAAAAAAAGUCCAGCAGUAACAGUUAAAAUAUAAUUGAUAACUACUCCCACAACAAACUAACAUAGUAAUUAUAUUUUGAACGCACACAUUUUGAAAUUCAUAAAUCUAUCCAAAACACAGAUGUAUGACAGUAAUCCAAGUUAUAAUUUAGCAGCAUAGUAAGGCCUGAUAGGCAGUCCAUAGAACGGUGCAAAAAUAAGUUUACUAGCCAGUUGAUCCAGAUUGUUCAGGCAUGUCCCCAUUAUCAUCUUCAAAGUCACUGCCUUUUGAGGAGCAAUUUUCAUAAUGUUGUUUCAUUCUGAUGGCCUUGCAUCUGUUCAUUCCACUGUUUACAUUUGAUUCCUUUUUUACCCAGAGGUACAGGAAUUUCUUAAAAUAUUCCAAAAUAGGGUCUUGUUUAUAACCUGCAGCCAGGACAAUUUUUUUUCUCCACUUUCCAGGUGUUGAAAUUCACAAUAGAGGCAGCACUCUGAAGAAGAUUGUCCCUUCUUCCCAUAGUAUUGUGCUUUAACAUAAGUGUUGUUCCUUUCUGGGAGCAGACUCUGCUCCUCCUCCUAGUUACAUAACUCUCCCAGCGCACUAACUCCCCCAGAAAAAAAAAAAGAACUAAAAACAUUCAAGACUUCUGCUCAUGUAACCCACAUGCUUUUUUGCACUGCAGUAUUUUAUAUGUUUAAUAAAUAAAAGAGACGGAGGCAGUUGAGAAAUGGGUUUCUGUUUGUUUGUAUCUCUGGUUGUGUACAUAUGCAAGGAGACAGAGCAGGGCUAUUUACCUGAAGUGCUCAGAACCAUCCAGAAGCAAGGACUGGUAGUUACUGGGCAGACAGUGUUUUCCCGUUAGUUAAGUUUUCAUGGUGGAUGGAGUCAUAAAUAUUCAUAAUUUGAGAACGGAGCCAAACAGAGCUCAGGUAGAGAGAUGGUAUAAAAUAAGAGCACACAUCCAGGCAUGCUCAGUGGAUGAUCUUGAUGAGAUACAUGAUGGUGUCUCCUGGAGUCAGAGCUAGGUCCUAACGUUUGUGAUGACUUUGCCAAUCUCUUGCACCAAGUAGCACAGCCCCCAGGUCCAUCACAGGAACAAGCCCUUAAUAUAGUACAUGACCUUUUGUGCCAUAUUUAUAAAGCUUGACCUCAAAUGUUAGAUUUUCCCCCGAUUCUUUCUCUAUAUAGAAUAGCAACCUUGAACUCAAAGUUUCCGAUAGAUGCUCAAUCGGGGAUUCAGCACAUUUAUUUUUUAUUUAAAUGUUUUAAGACAUAAGUAGUUUAGGACUUAACAUAUUUUGUAUUAAAUUCAGAUUUCUUUUAAACAGUUUUAUUUUUAAAAAAUAACUCAAUUUAAAUAACAAAAAUCUGAUUUAAAUAAGAAAAUUACGCUUUUGAUUUUUAUUUAAAAGAAUCAGAUUUUUAUCUUCUAUUGGAGAUGAUUAAAACAUGUAUUGAAUCAGAGUCCCAAACUGGUUUGUUGUUGCUGGUCACAUGGCUCUGGCUCUUCUUGUUUCCACCUAUAAUUAAAUACAGGUAAAAUCAUAUUACUUUCCAGAAGAGGUGAUCUGCAGUUUUAAGAGUGGGAGGGGUAGUGAUCCAUAACAGUCUCUUUAUUA